CAUGUGAAGUUUUAAGAUUACAAUCCAGAUGUGAUUAAAAUUUGAAUCUCUAGAAACAGAAAGUGAACAUUCUUAUGUACAAGAAUUUAGUGUAAUUGGGAGGAGGAGGAAAGGAUUUAAAAGCUCUUAUUCAAUUGUGUUUUAGAAUGAAAACUUUUUACACUGUAGAAACUGAAAAUCCUCCUUCCACAAGUUCAGCUGGAUUUGUUGAGUAUCAGUGGCACACUCAGGAUUUACUGUUGGGAGCCAAGUUGAAUUGAAAAAAAUUUUUAAUAUAAAUUCAAUAAAAUACCUUAUGUAGUAUAGAAAUUGAACACAUCAUAGAAUAUAAGUAAAAAAAAACUUUUAAUUGAGAAAGGAUUAUUGGAAAAUUUUCUAUUUACUUUUUUUUUCUUUGAAGGAGGCUCCCUUCAAAGGGCCGCAUAGUCCCCCAGGGUGAACUACUGUUAGUAGUAAUGUUUAUUCUCUAUUUAUUAUGAUUUUAAAUGAAUUGAUUUUCUUUUCAGAUUAAUCUUCUAAAAGCAAAUGGCAGUGGAGGAAAGUACCUAAUAGCAAUAACUGAUCAAGUAGGCAAAGGGCCAGCCUUCAGAGUGGACGGGGGAUACAUCAAUCCGGAUGACAUCAAAUCCUACAAGCACAGAUGCUUGCUCUUUAGUAUCCUGAAUGCAGCCAGACAGAUGUCCUAUUUACCAAUUUCAUCAUACCAAUUGUAUCUCCUGAAGGUGUUAUACCUCUUUGAGUUGCGCAAGAUUGAAGCAUCUGAAUUGUGUACCGUCUAUCGGAAAGCAACAAAAUUAUGUACGGAAUGUUCAGUUCUAUUGCAUGAAAUAAGCAGUCCAGAGCAAAUGAUGACUUUUCGAGCAGUUUUUUGUCUGAUAGAUUUUAUUGGCAGAAAACUGAAGACUGGAAACAAAAAUAGCAGAGUUAUUGAAAGAAGGAUCGAGGCUUUUUAGGCCAAUCCAGGAAAGAUUCAUUUUCCAAAUCCAGAAACCUUCCUCGACAGUUAAAACCAAACUCAUUUAUCAGGUUGCAUUGGUACAUUGUGGUAAACUAAAUUUACAAUGCAAUAAAAGUAGUCUCAGCUUUUUCAAAUGUCUUCUGACACG
RNA transcript from Centruroides sculpturatus (bark scorpion), 1106 nucleotides. RefSeq lists it as uncharacterized. The record is from RefSeq and is a predicted model, not a curated record. NCBI's taxonomy places the organism in Eukaryota, Metazoa, Arthropoda, Arachnida, Scorpiones, Buthidae. The transcript is spliced from 4 exons.